This is a long non-coding RNA of Mus musculus (house mouse), 3481 nucleotides long. RefSeq annotates it as predicted gene 15952. The record is from RefSeq and is a predicted model, not a curated record. The transcript has 4 exons. NCBI's taxonomy places the organism in Eukaryota, Metazoa, Chordata, Mammalia, Rodentia, Muridae.
GCCCUGCCUGCGCCCCCACUCAGGGCGCCCUCGUCACGGCCGCGUCCUGUCCUCCGUGCGCUCCUAAUAGCUCCACGUCAGAGUUCCCAGUUUCAGUGGAUGAAUCCAAUGUGGAGACCAAAACCGCUGAAAGGAGUCCACAGAGCAAGUCUGAUGGCCCUGCUUCCUUGGGCAUAUUCUACCAGGUACGGCAGAAUGGAUAGUACACAGAUAGCAGUGAUACAAUGAAAAGAGGAGCCCCAGACCACAGGACACACCUAUGGAUUCUGUCAGAUAAAGGAUGCUCAAAAUGUGGACAGAAGUCCUGCAGGCAGAAAGCAAGAGCCCCAACUUUAACAUGAACAAGAUCUGAAUAGACAUUCCACCAAGAAAAGUACCUGACUAAGCUAAUAGGCAGAGCUUGCCGGCGUAUCAGCAUUCUGGCAUACAGGGUCAAACUCUAGGUAAGACUUUUUUUUCCUCCUUAACACCUUCGGCCUUAUGAAACCUAGCCAGCAGAAGGACAUUUUCUGGUCAUUUCCAGAUGAAUUUCUCUGUCCUGAAACCAAAGUGUGUGCUAUCUUCAACAACGGACUCUUACCGUCUAGUUCUGGUGGGCAAACAAGCAAUGACAGUAGCCUGUGUUAAUAUGAAGUCUCUAGGGCCUCACUGAUCAACAGCUCACAGAGAGUACCCCAGUCUGGUGCUGAGAUUGUCUUAGGGGGCUGUAUUGUCUGCCCACCCAUGCUGUGUAUCACCAUUCAAAUUCCUUUUGUUUUUUUUUUUAAUAUUAGCUAAUGAAGUACUGGUUUUCCAUAAAUUUAUCAUAUAUCUUUUCUCCCUUAAUUUGCUUUUGUCAGGGUAUUUUAAAAUGGCAAUAGGGAAAGUUACUAAGUCAGUUUUGCGGCGCUAGCUAGGGAUUAAUCCCAGGACCUUACACAGGCUAACCCCAUACUCUACUACUGAGCUAUACUACCUAACUCCUUGAGAAUUAUUUCUAAACUAAUAUAAAGGCAAUAAUGAGGAUUACUCUAUACAAAGAAUUGAGUCAGCCAUUAAUUGUAGCAGAAAGAACUUAUGUUACUCACUGAUGAGGCUUGUGGGGUUGACAAAGAGAAUGUAUCUUGGGAAAGCACCACAGGAGAUUGUGGUACCAAGGUAUUCUGACUCCAGAAGCUGUAAGGCAAAUAUCUAGUGAUGAGGACAGUCUGAGAAUCCCAUAGCCCAGAAGGAACAGUGUCCCCAGGGUCACUGCAGGGUCCUGGAGAAAAGAGCAAGAUGCUUCCACUCUGCCUAUGGCUUGAGAGCUGUGAGCAGGGCUUUCAGGGUGCCUGGAAGGAUUUAAAAGUCUAUCAUGGCUGCAACCUGAGAAAGUGUGAACACAAGUGUGCCAGCAGGAAAGGAGCCAUGACCAAGGGUUCCCCGUGGUACUUUGAAUGUAAAGCCCCUCCCCAUAGGCUCAUAUAUUUAACUACUUGCUCCUGCCCCCAGACCCUGUUAGUGUAACUGUUUGGGAAGAAUUUUGGGGUGUGCCCAUGCUAGGGGAGGUGUGUGGCUGAGGGAAACCUUUGAGGCUUCAAAAGACCCUGAGGAGUCCCAGCACUCACUUUGCCUCCUGCUUGCUGAUCAAGGUGUGAGCUCUCAGCUACUGCUCCUGCACCAAGCUUGCCUACCUGUUACCACGUUCCCCAGCCAUGAUGGUCAAGAUCUCUAUCUGUUUGAAACAGUAACCCUCAAGUAAACACACAAUCUUUUAAAGUUGCCUUGGACAUGGGGUUUAAUUACAGCAACAGGGAAGUAGGAAAGCAUUUGGCCACCUCCCUCUUUUCUCCUGUCACACCUAGUUCAAAUCACAUUUUCCUUGUCUUCCUGAAAGUUUUAAGCACUGUAUGAAUAUCUAGGAGUGUUUCUUGGGAUCCCCUGAUUAAAAGUGCGGCAGAAGUGUAAAGUGUUGCUACCAGCACCGCAGACAUUUUCCCCUCAACGGAAACACAGGGCAUGGCGCUAUAUUUCAACUUCUGACACACCUGAGGGUUUUGUUUUGAGGGUUAAGCACCAUGCAUGUGCAAAAGUGAGAAAACAUGACAGCGAAAGACAAAAAGGUAAUGAGUUCAGCCAAGGGGCAGCUCUACUUUGCUGUCCAGGGAAAGUAGUGAUAGCUACACACACACUGCAGCCAGACCUAACAGCUUCCCUCCAUCAACAACUAUUGGUGUGUUACAGCUAACAGGCAUACAGAACAAAUCCAGACCUCGCCUUCAUGCCAGAGAUGAGCUGCUCCAUAGGUACACACCCAUUUAUCUCACAGAUUCCAGUGACACGCCAGCCUGGCAAACACUGGAGGCUUGCUUAAAUAGUCAGCAUCUGCUUGUAGUUGACAACUGUCACAGUGUCACUGGAAUAGACUAAAGACAAAGGAGGGGAAGAGAACGAACUGGCUGAUGCAUGCCUAACCAAGGCUUGUCAGCACCCAAGGCCCUGGGGUUUGCAAGAAUAAUGAGUUAGAUGGACCUUAGCUCCCCCUCUCACUCCUGACACUCCUCUCCUCUAUAUGGAACUCAGAAUCUUGUCCACGCUAGGCUAGUACUCUACCCCUGAAUUAUACCUCUUGCCUGGAAGAACUACUUUUAAAUUAAGGACAAGAAGCUCAAGCCUCUAAUCCUAUCACUUGGAAGACUGAGGCAGGAAAACUGCUAUGAAUGCAAGGCCAGACUGAGCCACAGGGAGAUCCUGUCACAAAGCACAUACAAGUGUGGUAGCUCAUGCGUGUAAUACCAGAACUUACAUGCGGAAGCAGAGGGAAUGUUGCAAUUUCCAAGCCAUUUGGACUGUGUCGUGUAACAAUUGCCUUCCAUAUUGAAACUUUCCAACCUGCAGGGAAGCUCUUCAAACAGGAAGGUUAAAUAACUCAAAACAGCUUCAGGAAGUACCUGAAACUGACCAAAUUCACUAGGCCUGUCCCUGUCAGAGUAAACAAUAAAAGCUAGGGUUACUCUCAGACUAUAAACAAUCUUAUCUAAAAUGCAAAGAUGACUUACUCAAGCCAAGCUGCAAAGAAAAAGCUGAGACCAGACCAGCUCCCUGGAGAAAAGCAGAAACAAGCCGAAAUGCCUGGGAGAGGUUUAGACCAGAAAGGACACUCUCCAACAUUUUCAGCUACCUGCAGGCUGUGCAGGGUGCCCCAGAUUCCCAGCUUUUGUGAGCUGUCACCCAUGCUGGGGGAGGGCAUCGGUGAUGCAGCUGUCUUUGAGUCAUUUCUGCUUCUGCAAAUAACUCCUCACCUAUACUUCUGUAAGUAACUCCAACAAAACUCAUUAGUCUGCCCUGUCAGGCUUUGGUGGUAUCUGUACUUAGCUCUGUCAUGGGAUCGCUAUUUGGGGUGAGUAGAUGUGUGUGUUGCAUCCCCCAGUGUUGUAAGCCGGCCCGAGGCCUACAUGAACCGGGUAUUUCUGGAAGGCAGGCUGGGGCUGGGCUGAAAGAGACUUAGACUGCGAGUAAAGAU